UACGGAGGAUGCGAGCGUUAUCCGGAUUUAUUGGGUUUAAAGGGUGCGUAGGCGGGCUUUUAAGUCAGCGGUAAAAAUUCGGGGCUCAACCUCGUCGAGCCGUUGAAACUGGGUGCCUUGAGUGGGCGAGAAGUACGCGGAAUGCGUGGUGUAGCGGUGAAAUGCAUAGAUAUCACGCAGAACUCCGAUUGCGAAGGCAGCGUACCGGCGCCCAACUGACGCUGAAGCACGAAGGCGUGGGUAUCGAACAGG
RNAcentral lists this ribosomal RNA (252 nucleotides) under uncultured bacterium. RNAcentral's name for it is "partial 16S ribosomal RNA". It matches the Rfam family "Bacterial small subunit ribosomal RNA", at positions 524 to 776 of the family's 1533-position model. The record is from RNAcentral.